This 64-nucleotide ribosomal RNA is filed under the name uncultured Tubulinea. Its description in RNAcentral is "partial Trypanosomatid mitochondrial large subunit ribosomal RNA". The record is from RNAcentral. Lineage: Eukaryota; Tubulinea.
GAUGAUAAUACGUGUACAUAGAUUAUAAUUGUAAAAAAAACAAAAAUAAAAAAACAACUUUUUU